Molecule: long non-coding RNA, 3032 nt
Organism: Betta splendens (Siamese fighting fish)
Lineage: Eukaryota; Metazoa; Chordata; Actinopteri; Anabantiformes; Osphronemidae
Exons: 2
Source: RefSeq, a predicted model, not a curated record
ACACCAUCUUCACAUUCAUCUGUCCGUCUGGGAAACAGCGCUGGAAAUAAUCAGGCCGGGGUCUGGAAAUAACAAAGGAGGGUCUCUGUAUCAUCUGUGGGGCGAGUCCAGUGCACCGUUCAGAAGGAACGUGUGAUGUUUGGGUGCGGCUCACCUGCCGACAAUCAGCUUGAUGGUAUUUGUGAAGACUCCAUUCAGGGCGAGAGCUAGGGACACGGCUAGAAAAGGAACAGUGGCUCGAGGUUAAAAGCGUCUUCCACCUGUUUGUGUUGUGUGUGAAGCAGGUAAGUAAGACAUUCGAUUUGCCUUCAAAUACAUCAGAUAUUAAGAGAACGAUUGAUGCUGCUGUAAAUGAAUAAUGAAUAGAAGCAGCUAAUUGUGUCUUUUCAUUCUCUCAACCUGUGCAUGUGUAUUUUCUGCUGCCCUUGUGAGGCCACUUCACACAAUGGCAUCACUGGAACCAGGUGGGACCUGACUGACUUCCACUGCGUUACACUCGCCGGCAUGUGAAGCACUACCGCAGGUCCUUCAGCUCAAUUUUGCUAACACACCCUGUUGACUGCAGGAUUCCAACUGGCAACGACAAAACUUAUCUGAAUACAAACUUUGGGCUUCUCAUCUUAUUCAGCCAACUUGAAUUGGUUUGUAUGGAAACCCACGGCUGCUGUGUAAACUCUAUAGCGCUGAGGCAGGUCUUUUACUGUACAUGCAGUGCAAAUUGAUUAUGUGAGACACAGAGUAGCAUGUACCGUAUCAGCACACUUUUAGUCGCAGUCGUUUCCAUUACUUUUUUCACUGAGACGCUGAGGAACUCCACCAAAAUCAGUCCUUACUCAUUUACUGUCAGGACCAAUGUCUUCAGAAUUUGUGCAGAGUGAAAGAACUGUCCUGAAAGGCACCAUUACCCAGAGCGGUUAGACUACAAAUGCUGUUUGUGUAGCACAAGUCCCAAAUGGGCCUUGAAUCCAAUAAAGAAAAUCCUUAAAUGAGACCAGAAUGAAAAAUAACCACUGUAUUAUUAUAUUUGAUAAAGCGGGCUCUAAAGUUAAGCUCUUUUUAGAGGGAACCGAGACAGUGUGUUAUUUCAACACAACUAAUGUAACAGAAUGUAUCAGACUAAGAUGUAGAUUCAACCUAAAGGUGUUAUGAGCUAAACUAUUCCACCAUUCUCAUAAUGAGAAAACCCAAGACUGUAACUUCUCUUGCAGCACACACUAACAAGAUAAUGAAGGUCACAGUGAGUCAUAAUGUAGCUUUAUGGAAAUCUCUUCCAUGCGCUGUUUCAAUAGCCAGAUUAAUUUCUGCACCUCCAGGGACUCUGUCAGAGUAAUAAGCCCGACUGCUGGAGAGUUUGACCCAAGCAGCCUGUGGGUUGGGAGGGGCUCACUCUUCCGUUUAUAAUUUAGUGGGCUGUCAUCAGCAAAGAUCCAUGGAUGCUGAUGUUAAUAUAAACUGUCAACACUUUUUAAAAAGCUCAAUGAUACAGGAAAUAGAAAUGAUAGAGGGCAGAUUAAGUGCAGAUAUGCUCAAGGGUUAUCUCUUGCCUGUGUUGCUGCAGACGAAUGGUGGAGAGUUGCAUGUGCUUUCGUUGGCUUCUAUGACCGAUGUGCUCUAGUUCUUAUAACGAACAAUCAACAGGCGUCAUUUAAAGCUUAACAUUAUACUGUAUGAAACUCAGCAUUAGGUGUCUAAAAUACCCCCUCCCCCCAACACAGUCAAAUUAUGAAUUACACAAAUUAUUGUGCCUGCUCAGUUUACACUGUAUGUAGUGUCUAGUUGCUGUUUGAGAUGAAUCACAGACAACACUUCAACCACUUUGCAGCAGUUGCACCACAAACUGUAAUGAGGUGAGUGAUUUGUGUAGGGGGGUGACACGCGAGUGGAGCCGCAGUCUGUCCAACACUCACAGGUGAGACUCAGACAGUCAGGUGAGACUGUUUGAAUAUAUGGUGAUGUCCAUUAAAUGAACCGUCAUCUGACAAGUGAGUGUGCAGAAUAUUUUAGAUCUGUGUUGCAUGUAAACUGUUGACAAAUUGAAAACUCUGGCCUUUGUGUGGUGGAAACCAUAUGAAAUACAUAAACUGUAUAAAAUACAUGAAAAAUAAAUGAAGUGUUUCAGGGACUGGGGGUCAAAUUAUAAAUGGGAGCAUUUACUAGUGCAGAGCUCCAAUCAACAUGGGGUUUGCUUCUCUGGAGGAACAGACACAACAUUCACAGCUGAUGUGACAAACUGCCACUUUACAGAAGUUACAUGAUAAAAAAUAACCUCGCUAAGCUUUAACUUGCAGCCUCAGGCAACAUGAGCAAAGCAUUAGACAGCUGUGUUGCUUCUUGUCGGGAAUCUUUAAAACAUUGAUGAGGUACAAUUCUGUUUUACUUUUGAUUAUUGGUCUGGUUUCUCUUUGUAGCUUUUUAUAACAUCAGUGCAGAAAACACAUCUAUUUCUGUUUUGGCACAUUUAGUGUUUGUAUUUACCAGAACCACUUGGGAAUAUAUGAGCAUCUGUGUCCACCAUCUCCAUGUGAAAUGUGUGAGUCAUAGUCAAUAUAGUGCGAUGUCUUUGCAGUGAUUGUUGCUGAAACCUGUACAGAGAAUGAAACGAGCGCACACAGUUCAAUAUGUGGAGGAUGGAGGUGUUUGCCCAGAUCCUUCAGCUUAUUUGCGAAGUGUUUACAGUGUGAGCCAAGGUAAAAGAUGUUCGGUCCAGGCUGUAUGAGUUUAAAAUCUAUCCCACUACUACACUACUACAGUACAACUGUGUGAAACCCCUCUUACAUCCGGUCUCCAGCUUUAAAGCGGUGAUUCUCCUACAUGACAGCUUUCUGCAGCUGCAGGUUACUAAUGAGCUGUCUUGUAGACAGCGAUAAUGAAAACAUUAUUAUGUGGCAAUCAAGUUCGCAAUAAGAGGACAGCAGGUACUUACGAACAUGACCCUCUUGGGAAUGUGGUCUGAUUCGACCAGAGGGUUCUUGUAGAGCCAAAGCUCCUCUGGUUGGAUCACUCUCUCGAAGGGCUCCAGAAACUCUGUAAAU